UUCCAGUGUGGUCUUUAUGGCUGUCUGUA
Molecule: non-coding RNA, 29 nt
Filed under: Mus musculus (house mouse)
Lineage: Eukaryota; Metazoa; Chordata; Mammalia; Rodentia; Muridae
Source: RNAcentral